CGUUCAACCUCACCCUUCCUUGUUAAUCCUGCCUAUAUACCGCCGUCGUCAGCCUACCCUGUGAAGGAAACAUAGUGGGCUAAACUGGUACUACCCUUAAUGUCAGGUCGAGGUGUAGCAUAUGGAAGGGGAAGCAAUGGGCUACAUUCGCUACUGCAGCGAAUCACGAAAGAUGCACUGAAAUAUGCAUCCGAAGGUGGAUUUAGCAGUAAGGGGGGAGCAGAGUGCCCCCCUGAAGUCGGCUCUUAAGCGUGCACACAUCGCCCGUCACUCUCCCCGAACCAGUCUAAAUUGGUAAUUAACAACACGGACGCUAUCGAGGGGAGGCAAGUCGUAACAUGGUAAGUGUACCGGAAGGUGCACUUGGACAAAU
Molecule: ribosomal RNA, 373 nt
Filed under: Mulloidichthys dentatus (Mexican goatfish)
Lineage: Eukaryota; Metazoa; Chordata; Actinopteri; Syngnathiformes; Mullidae
Description: partial 12S ribosomal RNA
Rfam family: Bacterial small subunit ribosomal RNA
Source: RNAcentral